AAUAAUGUUGUAAAUAAAAAUAUAUAUAGAGUAGAGCUAUGAUGCUAUCGUAAGUAUAAAGAAUAUGAUACUUUCGAAUUUUUCAGCCCCUUUAAUCAUUUCUAACAAUUGUAUUAAUAUUGUCAUCCUAUGAGGAUCACUCAAUCCUAGAUAUAUUACUCAAUCUUAGGAGGACCGCAAUCAUUCAAAUCAUAUAAUUCUUGAUCUAAAGGUCAAAAAAUCAAAAGUAUCAAAUUUUUUAUGCUUCCAAUAGCGCACGCACACACACAUAUACACACACAUACAUACAUAUAUAUAUAUAUAUAUACAUAUAUAUAUAGAGAGAGAGAGAGAGAGGGAGAGGGAGAGAGAGUAGGGCUACUGUGCUGUUAGGAGCACAAUAGUUCUUGUGUUUCUAACUUUCUAAUCACCAAUCAAUUUUGAUGGGUGGUUAGGAUGAGAGAGAAAAGAGAAAUUGAAGAGAAAUUCAAAAAGAAGAUAAAUUAAGACACUCAAUUUUUUCCAAUUUUUCUUCUCUCUUAUUUUAACUAUCCAUCAAAAUUGAUAGGUGGUUAGAAAUUUAGGAGCGCAAGGGUUGCUGUGCUCUUAAUAGGACAGUAGCCUUGCUCUCUCUAUAUAUAUAUAUUGAUGGGUUGCUGAUUUUAUAUGAUAACCGACUUAUUUUAAUAUACAAAAUGCAAAAUUAAUAAUAUUUUGACUUCAAAAUUUAACUUAAUUAUUUAUUUAAAAAAAAUUAUAAUUGCGAGAAUAAAAUAUACUAAUUAAAUCUGUAAAAAUAAAUAACACAUUUAAAUUUUCAACUCAAAGUGUCGUUAGCUUAGCCAAAUCAAACAAGUUAAAAGAUUAAGCAAUAAAAUCAAAAUUUUGAAAGUUGGAUAGAAUGAUAGUUCACCUAAGUUCUGUAUGUUUUUAUUUUUUUAACAUCAUAGAAUGAUAAAAUAAAAAUAGAAAACGAAGCAGAGGACUCAAAAAU
RNAcentral lists this long non-coding RNA (973 nucleotides) under Ananas comosus (pineapple). Its description in RNAcentral is "long non-coding RNA (ACOM_LNC013070)". The record is from RNAcentral. Lineage: Eukaryota; Viridiplantae; Streptophyta; Magnoliopsida; Poales; Bromeliaceae.